Molecule: ribosomal RNA, 253 nt
Filed under: uncultured bacterium
Lineage: Bacteria
Description: partial 16S ribosomal RNA
Rfam family: Bacterial small subunit ribosomal RNA
Source: RNAcentral
UACGGAGGGAGCUAGCGUUGUUCGGAAUUACUGGGCGUAAAGCGCGCGUAGGCGGCUUUGUAAGUUAGAGGUGAAAGCCCGGAGCUCAACUCCGGAACUGCCUUUAAAACUGCAUCGCUUGAAUCCAGGAGAGGUGAGUGGAAUUCCGAGUGUAGAGGUGAAAUGCGCAGAUAUCAGGAAGAACACCCGUGGCGAAGGCGGCUUUCUGGGACGGUACUGACGCUGAGACGCGAAAGCGUGGGGAGCGAACAGG